AUGGCGUGCCGAGCCCUCGCGCUCCGCUCCUUGCUGCUCCCCGACCCCCUCCACCACUUGAGUCUCCGCGCCGCCGCGUCGGCCCAGGCGGCGCCGUUUCCUUGUCGCCGCCGCCGCCGCAACAUCCGCUGCUGCUCCAGCUCCAGUGGGGGCGGGCCCGGGGAGCAGGGACAGCCGCCGCAGGAGGCCGUGCUCGAGGCCAUAUCAAAGGUGGCAAAGUCUAAAGGAAGGGUUGCACUCACAACAAAUAUGGUCAUAGGUGGCACUGUUACAGAUGAUUCAAGUGAUGAAUGGCUUGUUCUGGAUCAGAAGGUGAAUACAUAUCCCACAGACAGAGGAUUUACAGCAAUUGGUACUGGAGGUGAAGAUUUUGUCCAUUCUAUGGUUGAUGCUGUUGAAUCGGUUCUUCAAGAAUCGAUUCCAAAGGGCCAAGUAAGUCAGAAAAUAUCUUCCAGGGGAAAAUAUGUUUCUGUAAAAAUUGGGCCAAUACGUGUGGCUUCAAGUGAGCAGGUCCAGGCUGUAUACCGUGCCAUGAGAAGAGAUAACAGGAUGAAAUACUUCUUAUGA
RNAcentral lists this ribosomal RNA (567 nucleotides) under Triticum aestivum (bread wheat). RNAcentral's name for it is "partial small subunit ribosomal RNA". The record is from RNAcentral. Lineage: Eukaryota; Viridiplantae; Streptophyta; Magnoliopsida; Poales; Poaceae.